GUUAUACUAUUGAAGCAAGCAUAUUAAGUUUAUAAUAUUAAUUUAUGAAUUUUGAAAAUGAGAAAUUUUGAUAUGGUGAAAUAAUUCAAAAUGAAUGAUUCUAAAAAUAAAUUUUUAAAACUUUGUUUAAAAACUAGGAUUAGAUACCCUAUUAUUAAAAUAUUAUUAAUUAAGUAGUAAGGAAAUCUCUGAAACUUAAAGAAUUUGGCGGUGUUUUAAAUAAUUGGAGGAACCUGUUAUUUAAUUGAUAAUCCACAACAUAUCUUACCUUAUAUUAUGUUUGUAUAUCGUUGUUUGGAUGAUAUCUAAAGAUAAUAAUCAAGAUCAAGACUUUUUUAAAUAUCAAAUCAAGGUGCAGCAUUUUAAGGUUAUAAUGGGUUACAAUAUAAGUCAUGUAAUAUGAAUAAAUAUAAAAAUAAAUAUUUUGAAGGUGGAUUCAAAAGUAAUAAAAAAUUAGUAAGU
Molecule: ribosomal RNA, 462 nt
Filed under: Hadogenes paucidens
Lineage: Eukaryota; Metazoa; Arthropoda; Arachnida; Scorpiones; Hormuridae
Description: partial 12S ribosomal RNA
Source: RNAcentral